Molecule: long non-coding RNA, 1616 nt
Organism: Sycon ciliatum
Lineage: Eukaryota; Metazoa; Porifera; Calcarea; Leucosolenida; Sycettidae
Exons: 2
Source: RefSeq, a predicted model, not a curated record
AAGAAAGCGUUGAUCUGACAUAGCUGAUAGGAUUUUUUUCGGUUCCUUGGAUUAUUGGCUGAUGAUUGCAGAGUACGAGCGCAAUAAGUUCCCAUUAUGGAGUGAUAUGAAUCGAGUAAACUGUUGUAGUAUGGCAGUGAUAAUGGUCAAGAUUGAAGAAAGCCAGACCGAGUUGUAAGAGAAUGCGUGUUGAUCGCGAUGAAUGGCAUGAUGUUGAUGACCGCAGACUGGAGGACUGAGCCAACUGAACUGAACUGCGUGUUGGAUAUUAUUUGAACAUCUAUUCAAACGUCAAAAUGGAAAUAAUUCAGUGCGUGGCUAGAUGGUCAACAGAUGUAAAUCGUUGCCUGCAAUAGUGCACGUGUCUUGUUGUUCUAUCGGAUCUAUAGUUGGUUCGGUACAUGUAUUGUCCAAGAGUAUGAGACAGAGGACUCGAAAUUUCGGACAUGGGGCGAGUGACCACUGCUAGCGAGCUUUGUGACCAAUGACGUGGCCAGGGUUGCCAGCCAUUAUUACAGUGAGUGAAAGCAGAAAGGAUAGUCCAGGUGCUGAAGCCUCUUGAGGAGCUUGGCAGCGAUGAAAAAACACGUUCACAAGUUUCACCACGAGUGGAUCACGCCCAUCAGAAUCUCUGGUCUGUACUGUCACCCGGUCGAGCAUUGCCUCUCAAACAUAUUGCCGGUAAUGGCUGGUCCCGUCCUGCUCGGCUCUCACUGUAUGCUGCUGCUGCUGUGGGCCUGCAUCUCGCUGGCCUCCGUGUCCGUCGCACACUGUGGGGCGGCUUCCACCUGCCGGUCAUGCCGUCCAACGAAUACCACGACUACCAUCAUGCAAAGUUCAACCAGAACUUUGGCAUACCGGGAAUCUUUGAUUUGCUGCAUGGCACGGACAGUCACUUCCGUAAAUAAAAGUCGUACGAGCGCCAUUCCAUGCUACUUGCCACCACCCCAGCCAACGUUCUGAUUCCAGACGAACCGAAGAAAUGCCAGUAAAAAGGUUAAGUCUGCAGUGCAUAUGCAUGUGUGCAUCCUCACUGCUGUUGCUAGUCUCCUCACAGUGCACCCUUGACCGUCCCAUUCUCCAGUUUCAAUGCUAGUCUCCUCACAGUCCACCCUUGACCGUCCCAUUCUCCAGUUUCAAUGCUAGUAUCAUCACUACUCUACAUGUAUAUGUAAUGUAGCAUAUCCACCAUCAAUACUGGUCACAUGACAAAUUACACUUACCUACCCUCACUACUUCAAGUAUACCGCUGAUAUUAUUAUUUUUAUUCACAUAGCUAUGGGUUUUUUUGUGGCAAAUUCACUAGUGCCCUAGCUCGGCCCAAUCUGUGUUCUAUCAUGGGUGGUUGAUUGACGACAUCACAUUGUUCAAUCUUCCAGUCCUAUCAGUGACAACUCUCAUAGCCAAUGUGCAUUGUUUCCGACGGCAAUCACCAAGAAGUUAUGUUCUCUUUCUCACCUAGGGCCGUUCACAAUUUGUUUUCGGUCUCUUUUUUAACCGUAUAUUUGACUAUACUCAUUCAAAAAAUGUACCCUAUUCAGUACAACACACACUUGUACAUUCUCUUGCAUGCUCAUUCAUACAUACUCUCACACCAAGAGACCAGAUAUGACCGA